RNAcentral lists this ribosomal RNA (253 nucleotides) under uncultured bacterium. RNAcentral describes it as "partial 16S ribosomal RNA". It matches the Rfam family "Bacterial small subunit ribosomal RNA", at positions 524 to 776 of the family's 1533-position model. The record is from RNAcentral.
UACGUAGGGCGCAAGCGUUAUCCGGAAUUAUUGGGCGUAAAGAGCUCGUAGGCGGUUUGUCGCGUCUGCCGUGAAAGUCCGGGGCUCAACUCCGGAUCUGCGGUGGGUACGGGCAGACUAGAGUGAUGUAGGGGAGACUGGAAUUCCUGGUGUAGCGGUGGAAUGCGCAGAUAUCAGGAGGAACACCGAUGGCGAAGGCAGGUCACUGGGCCGCAACUGACGCUGAGGAGCGAAAGCAUGGGGAGCGAACAGG